ACAUGCCUAGAGGUUUUAAUGGGGGCGAACACAUUCGCAACACCUCUCACAUCACACGUGUGCAGCUCAGUUUGUGUUGCCACAGUCUAUAGUUUCAAACAACAAUCAUCCAGGACGUCAAAGUGUCUGAUUUAGGCAAGUAUCGGAUUCCUGAAACGGCCGGAACAGACGCGGACGGCUCUCCUGACACCAAACAUAAACCUUUUAAUUACAGCUAACAUGGCUGAUGAGUUUGAGGCCUGAUUACUUGGCCUUCAUUAGUCAGAUUGUGAGCCAUAGUGACUCCCACAGGAGCUGUUUGGCAAAUCUAAACACCGCCAGCUUCUCUGUUAAGCAAUUACAUUGACCCUAAAAGACGUCCAAACAGGUGCGCGCGCCCACACGCUGCGCACACAGACCGACGUGCGUGCACGUGGGCAUUUUAUCAACCCGAAUCGGCUGAAUGUUGGGAUUUCAGUCUGUUCCUUAAUUUGCAGAAAGAGUCUGACUAAAAAGGAAACAGUGAUAAAAAUGUGCCGAGCUCCACUCGGUGCAGCCGCGCUUCGUCAUGAUGACUCCAUGUUAGCCGGGCCACCUCGACGACGCGGCGGGUUUGUUUCGCAUCAUGGCGGCCUGGCGGUUGUCACUGCGCCGGGGGAGGGAGCGUCCCGCCUCGGGCCACAGGCGGCGAUCAGCCCCGUCGGGAACAAACUGCGUCUGCAUCGUGCGGUCAGGAUCUGGCCGUUGUUCGGCUGGAAUGAAAGUGCACCGAUGACGGUCUCCAGCAGAGGCCAGAGAUGGGACUAAUGUGAGCGUUCACAAACCCAGAACACUGAUUCAGGCCAAAAUGUGGGAAAAAAUCUCAGAUAUCUACAACGCAGUUUAAAAGGCUGUAAAAAGUAUUUGCCCCUUUCACAAAAUUUUCUAUUUUUUUUUCUCUCAUUUUCAUAUAGCAGAUUAACAAACAUUUGUAUAUAACACAGAGACAGAGUAGGUAGUUAAAAAUUUGUUUAGAUGGUUUCAUUUAAUGAGAAAAAGUAGUCCAAACCAACGUAUGGAAAAAAAAAAAUAAAAUAAAAAAAUUGCUCCCUAACCCUAAUAACUAGCUGUGCCGCCGCAGGAAGCAACAUUAGCCACCAGACGUUUGUGAUUAUUUGUUCCCACUGCAGAAAUUAAAAUAAACAUAGGUCCACCACAGUUUGCUACUGUUGAUGCGAGGAGCGGCCAUAUUGAAACGCAGAGUCGACCUUCCAAGUCGUAACUGGGGGUAGUCGGAGUUGCAUCCACUUUCUCAGUUCCAACUACAACUGGGACGCAGCACGACGUUCCUUCAAAGUAAACUCGUUCGCUUAUGCUAGCAGUAGCCUGUUAGCUGUUAAGUAGUUAGCACAAGUUAGCAGGAGCUAGCUAUGUUCAACAGUAAAACAGAGACUUGGUUAUAAAGUAAAUACAGACAGGAUAGGGUUCACUCAGUGUAAUUGGUUCUAUUUUGGUGCGACCCAAAUGUACACACACCUGAAGUAGGUGAAUGAGAGAAAAACAUUUUUUUUAAGACGAGCACAAACUUUACAGAAAUGACACGGAGGACAGGACAUCAAAUCAGGGUGUUUUUACACCCUUUUUAUCACAGAAUGAAACUUCACACAAAAAUCAUUCAUUUUAUCCAAAUAUUACCAUUUGAAAUACUGGAUCAUAGACUCCUCUUUUCACCCCACUGUUUGGUACGUUCAGUGUCAGACCUUCUCCUUGUGAGGUCAUCCACACAAUCGACUCGCUGCUGUGGAUGUCACAAGCAUUCUACGCUGUUUCUCCAUAUUUUGGGAUCCAUUUUGUUUCCCUUAAACAAGACGUCGACUUUAGGUUGUCCUCACUUGCUUCAUUGGUGCAUCACUUUCCACUGCAUAUGGUUUCUGCUAAUAUGCUUUUCUCCCUGCGUGGAUAAGACGGUACGGAUAAUGGAUGGAUUGUACUCUUUGGACCGCAUAUUCAAAAAGUAAUACGAAUUAUUUAGUAAAUAGUCACCCUUUCACAUUUGUCUUUGCUUUCUGUUUUCAAAGCCACAACAGUGAAAGAAGCAAUUUUUGUAUUUUCUGUCCCUGCAUGU
Molecule: long non-coding RNA, 2083 nt
Organism: Xiphophorus couchianus (Monterrey platyfish)
Lineage: Eukaryota; Metazoa; Chordata; Actinopteri; Cyprinodontiformes; Poeciliidae
Exons: 2
Source: RefSeq, a predicted model, not a curated record